This 750-nucleotide non-coding RNA is filed under the name Nesophrosyne sp. 242 GMB-2012. The record is from RNAcentral. Lineage: Eukaryota; Metazoa; Arthropoda; Insecta; Hemiptera; Cicadellidae.
UAAAAGUUUGAUUCUAGCUUUAAGAUUAAUUUAUUCAUUGAUCUAUAUGGUAAAUUAUUAAAUUGGUUUUGUUGUUCCAGUAGUAAAAAUUAAGUUUAUUAGAGGUUUUGAUUUAGAAAUUGAAUGUAAAGUAGAUUAAUAUUUGUGCCAGCAUUCGCGGUUACACAAUUUACUUAAGUUAAUUUAGUUGUUUUUAAUUUAAUUUUUAGUAUGGAUUUAAGUAUGAGAUUAUUUAGGUGGAAUUUAUAGUUUGUUAUAAAGUCUAGCAUAAUUUAAUUGAGAUAUUUUUGUUAAUAAACUAGGAUUAGAUACCCUAUUAUUUUAAAUGUAAAAUUUAUUCAGAAUGGUAAUAGAUAUGAUCUUUAAAGCUCAAAGAAUUUGGCGGUAAGAUAUCUACUUAGAGGAAUCUGUAUAUUAAUUGAUAUUCCACAAGAGUUCAUACCUUUAUAUUAUAUUUGUAUACCGCUAUCUUUGAGGGAAUGUUAUUUAAGUAAACUUUCUUUAAUUAAUUUAAUCUUAUAUUAGGUCAAGGUGCAGUUUUUUUAAGGUUUAUAUGGAUUACUUUUGUUUUAAGUAUUAGGAUUUUAAUUUUAAAAAAAUUAAGUUGAAUUAGGAUUUAACAGUAAGUUUGAAUUAAUUUAUUUAGCUGAAUUUUGCUAUGUUUUAUGCACAUAUCGCCCGUCACUCCUAAUUAAGUUAGGAUAAGUCGUAACAAAGUAAUCUUACCGGAAGGUGAGGUUAGAAUAAAUA